UGAUCUCAGAUCAGGUAGAAGUACCUGCUGAACUUAAGCAUAUCAAUAAGUGGAGGAAAAGAAACCAACAGGGAUUGUCUCAGUAACAGCAAGUGAAGUAGCAAAAGCUCAAAUUUGAAAUCUGGCUUCAUGUGAAGUCUGAGUUGUAAUUUGGAGAGGACACUUUGAAUGCAGUCACAGCAUAAGUUCCUUGAAACAGAAUAUUAUAGAGGGUGAGAAUCCUGUCUUUAGCUGCUGGACUGCACCCAUGUGAAGUUCCUUUAACAAGUCAAGUUAUUUGGGAAUGCAGCUCUAAGUGGGUGGUAAAUUUCAUCUAAAGCUAAAUAUUGGCUGGAGACUGAUAGCACACAAGUAGAGUGAUUGAAAGGUUAAAAGCACCUUGAAAAGAAAGUUAAAUAGCAUGUGAAAUUGUUGAAAGGGAAGUGCUUGCAACCAGACUUGAUUAUGGAAGCUCAGUGGGCAUGUGUGCCCAUGUACUCUCUCAUGCUCUGGACCAGCAUCAGUUCUGGUGAUUGAUUAAAGGCCUCUGGAAAGUAUCAUUCUCUGGAACAUCUUAUAGCCAGGGGUGCAAUGUGGCCAGCUGGAACUGAGGAAUGUGCUUUAACAUGGAUGCUGGUAUAAUGGUUGUAAGCAGCCUGUCUUGAAACAUGAAUCAAGAAGUCUAACAUUCACACAAGUGUUUGGGUGUCAAAUCUGUGCACACAGUGAAAGUGAAUGGAGAUGGGAGCCUGCAAGAGUGCAUUAUUGACUGAUUCUGAAGUCUUUGGAUGGAUUUGAGUAAGAGUGUGGCUGUUGGAAUCUGAAAGAUGAUGAACUAUGCCUGAAUAGAAUGAAGCUAGAGGAAACUCUGGUGGAGGCUUGCAGUAGUUCUGACAUGCAAAUCAAUCAUCAAAUUUGAGUAUAGAGGUGAAAGACUAAUCAAACCAUCUGAUAGCUGGUUUCUGCUGAAGUUUCUCUCAGAAUAGCAGUAAUAUUUUCAGUUUUAUGAGAUAAAGUGAAUAAUUAGAGGCCUUGGAGUUGAAACAAUCUUAAUCUAUUCUCAAACUUUAAAUAUGUAAGAAGCCCUUGUUACUUAAGUGAACAUGAGCAUUAGAAUGAAUUGUUACUAGUGGGCCAUUUUUGAUAAGCAGAACUGGCAAUGCAGAAUGAACUGAAUGCAAGAUUAAGGUGCUGGAAUGCAUGCUUAUCAGACACCACAAAAGAUGUUAGUUCAUCUAGACAGUCUGAUAGUGGCCAUGGAAGUUAGAAUCCACUAAGAAGUGUGUAACAACUCACAGGCCAAAUGAACUAGCUCUGAAAAUGGAUAGUACUUAAGUAUGCUACCCAUACCUUGCUGUUGGAAUAGAAAUGAAGUCCUAAUGAGUAGACAGGUGUGGAGAUUUGUAAUGAAGUCUUGAGAGUAAUUCUGGAUUGAACAGCCUCUAGUGCAGAUCUUGGUGGUAGUAGCAAAUACUCAAAUGAGAACUUUGAGAACUAAAGUGAGGAAAGAUUCCAUGUGAACAGCAGUUGGACAUGGGUUAGUUAAUUCUAAGACAUAAAGUAGUUCUGUUUGAAAGUGUGCUCUAGUGUGCUGUUUGUUGAAAGAGAAGCUGGUUAAUAUUCUGGCAUCUGAAUGUGAAUUCUCCAUGGUAAUGUAACUGAAUACAGAGAUGUUGGCAGGAGUUCUGGAAAGAGUUCUCUUUUCUUCUUGAUGGUCUAUCAUUCUGAAAUCAGUUUGUCUGGAGCUAGGGUUUCAUGGCCAGCAGAGCCCCACAUCUUUGUGGGGUCUGGUAUACUUCUGAUGACUCUUGAAAAUCUGUGGAAAGGAAUAGUUUUCAUGCCAGGUUGUACUUAUAACUGCAGCAGGUCUUCAAGAUGAAAAGUCUCUAGUUGAUAGAACAAUGUAGAUAAGAGAAGUUGGCAAAAUAGAUCUGUAACUUUGAGAAAAGAAUUGGCUCUAAGAAUCAGGCACAUUGGGUCUUAGAGGAAAACCUCUAAAGCAGGAGGGCACUAGCCAGGCAACUGGCAGGUGCCUUCUAGCAUCAGAGUGCAGAUGCCCUUGGCAGGCUUCAGCUGUCUGGUGUGUGAUUAACAACCAACUUAGAACUGGUACAGACAAGGGGAAUCUGACUGUCUAAUUAAAAUAUAGCAUUGUGAUGGCCAGAAAGUGGUGUUGAUGCAAUGUGAUUUCUGCCCAGUGCUCUGAAUGUCAAAGUGAAGAAAUUCAAUCAAGCAUGGGUAAAUGCCAGGAGUAACUAUAACUCUCUUAAGAUAGUCAAAUGCCUUGUCAUUUAAUUAGUGACAUGCAUGAAUGGAUUAACAAGAUUCCUACUGUCCCUAUCUACUAUCUAGUGAAAUCACAGCCAAGGGAAUGAGCUUGACAAAAUCAGUGGGGAAAGAAGACCCUGUUGAGCUUGACUCUAGUUUGACAUUGUAAAAAGACAUAUUGGGUGUAGAAUAGGUGGGAGCUUUGGUGCCAGUGAAAUAUCACUACCUUUAUUGUUUUUUUACUUAUUCAAUAAAGCAGAACUGGGCUUUACUACCUAACUUCUAGUGUUAAGAUCCUUUGUGGGCUGAUCUGAAUUGAAGACAUUAUCAGAUGGGGAGUUUGGCUGGAGCAGCACAUCUGUUAAAUCAUAAUGCAGAUGUUCUAAGAGAAACUCAUGGAGAACAGAAAUCUCCAGUAGAACAAAAGAGUAAAAGUUCUCUUGAUUUUGAUUUUCAGUGUAAAUACAAAUCAUGAAAGUGUGGUCUAUUGAUUCUUUAGUCCCUCAAAAUUUAAGGCUAGAGGUGCCAGAAAAGUUACUACAGGGAUAACUGACUUGUGACAGCCAAGUAUUUAUAGUGAUGUUGCUUUUUAAUCCUUUGAUGUCAGCUCUUCCUAUUAUGCUGAAGCAGAAUUUGAUAAGUGUUGGAUUGUUCACCCACUAAUAGAGAAUGUGAGCUGGAUUUAGAUUAUUGUGAGACAGAUUAGCUUUACCCUACUGAUGAAGAUCACUGCAAUGGUAAUUCAAUUUAGUACAAGAGGAAUCAUUGAUUCAGAUAAUUGGUUUUUGGGGCUGUCUGACCAGGCAGUGCUGUGAAGCUACCAUCUGCUGGAUUAUGGCUGAAUGCCUCUAAGUCAGAAUCUGUAUCAGAAUGUGGUGAUGUUACUCUGCAUGUUGUAGUUGGAUAUGAAUAGGCCUACAGGCCCUGAACCUCAGCAGAUCAGUAACAGCUUCCAGAAAGAGACUCUCAGACACCAGCUGACAGAUUGUAAUGUCACCAUGCAUGGGGAUAGAUCCUCUGCAGACAACUGAAAUGAUCAAGUAAGUUGUGUAAGUGGUCAAGUAGCCUAGUUGUUAUGAGUUGCUGAGUGUCAGCCUGAUUCUUGGCUCAAUUUGU
Coccidioides immitis RS is the source of this 3363-nucleotide ribosomal RNA. It matches the Rfam family "Eukaryotic large subunit ribosomal RNA". The record is from Rfam. NCBI's taxonomy places the organism in Eukaryota, Fungi, Ascomycota, Eurotiomycetes, Onygenales, Onygenaceae.